GCAAUUAAAAAGCUCGUAGUUGGAUUUCUGUGAGAGUGCCGGUGUCGGCUGAUGCUUGUACGCAGGCGCUCUUACAUCCUUCUGUUAACUGUUCUUGGCAUUUUAUUGCUGGUUCAGGGCUCAGAUAUUUUACCUUGAGAAAAUUAGAGUGUUUCAGGCAGGCUUGGCCGGAAUACAUUAGCAUGGAAUAAUGGAACAGGACCUGUGCGUCUCUCGGGGCGCCGGUCUCCGUUGUUGGUUUCGGGGACUAAUGUAAUGAUUAAUAGGGAUAGUUGGGGGCAUUAGUAUUUAAUUGUCAGAGGUGAAAUUCUCGGAUUUGUUAAAGACUAACUUAUGCGAAAGCAUUUGCCAAGGAUGUUUUCAUUAA
This 367-nucleotide ribosomal RNA is filed under the name uncultured Symbiodinium. RNAcentral's name for it is "partial Eukaryotic small subunit ribosomal RNA". It matches the Rfam family "Eukaryotic small subunit ribosomal RNA", at positions 615 to 976 of the family's 1831-position model. The record is from RNAcentral. Lineage: Eukaryota; Dinophyceae; Suessiales; Symbiodiniaceae.